CGCAGAGUCCCUGCGAGGAGAGCGGUUACUCUGCACGCCAGGAAAGCACCAGUACGGGUUUUGCAGAAAAAAGGAAGCGUGAGAGUCUGGGGAGCUUAGCGAUCUAGCGAGAUCCUAAAGAAGGGCCGGGAACAUAACUCAGUGCAAAGGCCCUGGGUUCAAGCCCCAGAGUGUGUGUGUGUGAGCGAGUGUGUGUGAACCAUAGUGCAUCACUCGCUCGGAUCUCCAGGGGAUCCCCCUGAGUGGGAAACGCCGACCCCAAAGUUUCGGUUCUGUACGAUCCAUUUCUGGAGAGGACGAGAUCGGAAAGGCGGAGCAGCCUUGCGCGGCCGGAGCAGGCAGUGCGGGGAGGGCUCGGUCUCCGACCCCGGGCCAGGCCCGGCCGCGAAGCCCUGCGGCGCUGUGCCAGACGCUCCCAUCGGGAGAGCAGAUAAAGGGACUUGGGCCACAAGGAAUCGUUUAGUCGGAACCUAAAGGCUCAGGCCCCCCUGCAGGCGAGCCCGCCUCCGCCCCUCCCCCCGUUCCCGGGUCUGCGCCUCGGUUGUGGAGCCCACUGGCUCGGGUCCUGGGACCUGCUGCAGCAGCACCACCUCAUGGCAGCGAGAGAAACCGCAGCUGGGGAGAGGCCCGCAGUAGCGGGGCUCGCGGCGGCAGUGCGCUAAGAGAACAGUAGAACUUCCGGCCGAGCUAGUGUUGCAAUCGCCGCAAGCACGACGUGGCCACGUUCAUAUCCUGAAUUUGAGAGGGACCUGCUAUCAGAUGCGAUGCAUCGUCUCCAGGGGCUCCCGGACCCCCACUUUUCACUUUAUUUUUAGCUUUGAAGAAAUGCAAGAACAGGAUCAGGUGUUCUAGGCAAGGCGUCAGGCAAGUGGGCAGCAAGGGAAUUGGAUCAUGGAAAUCAAGUUAGAAUGAAGGAAGACCAGCACAGCACGGUGGAAGAGGGGAGACAGGGAGAGACCUCGGAGAACGAACCCAGAGCCCUGAGCCCUCUGCAGGCGUGGUUGGGCUUAGAGUCCCUUUUCUAAAAUUUGUGUGUCAUUCAGAGGCUCGCACCUCUUUAAAGACUGUCUUUGCUCUGUUCUGCUAGUUUUGGAAAAUUUGCAAUUAAUUUUAGAAAAUUUGCAAAAGUACGCUUGCUGCCUGCCCUGAGUUCUUAAGGCCCGCUUCUAAGCCAUUUUUUUCUGAUUGUGACCCAUAGGUGGACCCCAACUUGGCUGAGAUGCAGGCUUUUUGUGUAUAAAAACUCCUAGACCAAGGGUUCCCAUGGCAGCCCCCUUGGGUCCCCUCCCUGGUUCAAUAACUGGGAGCUUUUUGCUUUCUGCUUUCACCCUACAAUAAAUACUGUUGCUCAGUUCUCUUUUGACUCUGCCUUGUGAUUCUUUCUGGGUUGAGAGAACCCACCAGCU
This 1406-nucleotide long non-coding RNA is filed under the name Heterocephalus glaber (naked mole-rat). RNAcentral's name for it is "lncRNA (ENSHGLG00100036227.1)". The record is from RNAcentral. Lineage: Eukaryota; Metazoa; Chordata; Mammalia; Rodentia; Bathyergidae.